UACAGAGGUCUCAAGCGUUGUUCGGAAUUAUUGGGCGUAAAGGGCGCGUAGGCGGUUUGGCAAGUCUAGUGUGAAAUCUUCGGGCUCAACUCGAAGUCUGCACUGGAAACUGCCGGGCUUGAGUAUGGGAGAGGUGAGUGGAAUUUCCGGUGUAGCGGUGAAAUGCGUAGAUAUCGGAAGGAACACCUGUGGCGAAAGCGGCUCACUGGACCAUAACUGACGCUGAGGCGCGAAAGCUAGGGGAGCAAACAGG
Molecule: ribosomal RNA, 253 nt
Filed under: uncultured bacterium
Lineage: Bacteria
Description: partial 16S ribosomal RNA
Rfam family: Bacterial small subunit ribosomal RNA
Source: RNAcentral